This is a long non-coding RNA of Solanum tuberosum (potato), 235 nucleotides long. RefSeq lists it as uncharacterized. The record is from RefSeq and is a predicted model, not a curated record. The transcript has 3 exons. NCBI's taxonomy places the organism in Eukaryota, Viridiplantae, Streptophyta, Magnoliopsida, Solanales, Solanaceae.
CCAUCCCGACCGGCGCCGCCUCCAUCCCGACCGGCGCCGCCUCCAUAUCAACUUUCUCAGUUCGCGCCACCAUCCUCGACCUUCUUACUCAAGGCAACUGAGGAAGCUCAACAUGUAAAAAAGUUGAUACAAGUUUAUUUUGCUUCUUUCAUCAAAGUUGGAGAUAAGAAAAGGCGUAUCAAAAGAAGAAGUCUUGGUAUUGUGGUUCAUCAUCCUCAAGCUUUGAUGGCGGGGA